AUUGAACGCUGGCGGCAGGCCUAACACAUGCAAGUCGAACGGUAGCACAGAGAGCUUGCUAUCGGGUGACGAGUGGCGGACGGGUGAGUAACGUCUGGGAAACUGCCCGAUGGAGGGGGAUAACUACUGGAAACGGUAGCUAAUACCGCAUAACGUCGCAAGACGAAAGUGGGGGACCUUCGGGCCUCACACCAUCGAAUGUGCCCAGAUGGGAUUAGCUAGUAGGUGGGGUAAUGGCUAACCUAGGAGACGAUCCCUAGCUGGUCUGAGAGGAUGACCAGCCACACUGGAACUGAGACACGGUCCAGACUCCGACGGGAGGCAGCAGUGGGGAAUAUUGCACAAUGGGCGCAAGCCUGAUGCAGCCAUGCCGCGUGUAUGAAGAAGGCCUUCGGGUUGUAAAGUACUUUCAGCGGGGAGGAAGGGAGUGAAGUUAAUAGCUUCACCGAUUGACGUUACCCGCAGAAGAAGCACCGGCUAACUCCGUGCCAGCAGCCGCCGUAA
RNAcentral lists this ribosomal RNA (504 nucleotides) under uncultured bacterium. RNAcentral describes it as "partial 16S ribosomal RNA". It matches the Rfam family "Bacterial small subunit ribosomal RNA", at positions 29 to 523 of the family's 1533-position model. The record is from RNAcentral.